RNAcentral lists this long non-coding RNA (1403 nucleotides) under Anser cygnoides (Swan goose). RNAcentral describes it as "lncRNA (ENSACDG00005010886.1)". Lineage: Eukaryota; Metazoa; Chordata; Aves; Anseriformes; Anatidae. The record is from RNAcentral.
UGGAGAUAUUCAAGGCCCGUCUGGAUGCCUACCUGGGCAGCCUGCACUAAGGAACCUGCUUUGGCAGGGGGGUUGGACCCGAUGAUCUUUUGAGGUCCCUUCCAAUCCCUUGAAUUCUGUGAUUCUGUAACUUCUGCUUAACUGACCUUUGACCUCAAAUUGACAGACAGUUGUUUGCAUGUGUUUGCUGAGCAUAUUCUAGUGGCAACCCCCAAAAGUAAUAAAUGUUGGCUGAAACUUAUUAAAACUUUGCUAUUUAUCUAUUUAUUUCAGGGGAGGGGGAGCAGACGAGAGAAUCAAUGCCCAGAGGAAUGCAGGACAGAACUGUGUGAUUUCCUUCUAAGCUCAGCUCCAUUUGGGAGCACAACAAUGAAUUCCAAGGCAGGGAAUUGUUCACAGAAUAUAUCAUAUCCUCAUGAUGAACACUGGACUAAGAUUUAAACCUCCUGUGCUCUAAUUUUACUUGUACAUGAGACGCUAUCUCAAAGAAAUACGAUAGAAGCUGAAAAUCGCGAUGUCACAAAGGAGGAAGCCAUUCCUUUAUUUGGAAAACCCGAGUCAGCAUAUUACUUUUAGAGCAAGGCUACCACCUAGUGGUCUUCAUUUAUAACGACUGGCUGCAGCUACAGAUUUUGCAAAAAGAUACCCACGAGGAAAAAUAACACUCACUCUGCUUCUGCUUCUUGCUAACGGCAUCAGUCUUUGAACAAGAAAAGCUCAUAUAUCAACAGAAGAAAUUUUGAAUCAAACAAAGACUUAUUUGAAUUUAUGUAUAGCUGGCAUAACAGCUGCUGAAUAAUAUACAAAAUUACAAUACAAUUGGUUUGUAGAAGCCAAAUUGUGGAGACGCCAACUGCUGGAGACGUGUCUUGUUAAGAGAGAAUCACAAACCCAGGAGUCUGUGUUACAGUCCCUCUGUUUGACAUGCAUGAGGUUACUGGGUACUGCUGUUUUCUGGCAGCAAUACUCUGACACAAAUAAGAAGCAUGGCAAACAGUUGAUUGUCUUCGCUGAUGCUAAAGUUUGUUCAAUAUAGACUUCUGUGAGUAUCUAACGUAGCUGAUUAAAAUUGUUUACAACUUGGCUUUACUGUGUUAAAGAGCGCUUAAUGUGGUAUCAGGAUAGAGCUGUGAUUUAAAGUUGAAUGUCUGCCUGUGGUAUUUCAUCUGUAUUAUGCUUGGGAGAACUGCCAUCUUAGUACAAAUGAGGUCAAAAUUUAUGAAAGCUGGGGAAUAGCUGCCUUAACCAUAUGCAAAAAAAAAAAAAAAAAGUUUAGAUUUAUGCUUUACAGAGUAGACAAGGAAAAUACUGCUUUGCUAGUUAACAUUCUUUACCAUUAUACAAAUUAUAUGUUUACAGUUGUUCUAGUAUACUAUGUUAUGUCAUUGAAAAUUAAUAUUUGC